GACGAACGCUGGCGGCGUGCUUAACACAUGCAAGUCGAACGGUGAAGGGAUCAGCUUGCUGGUUCUGGAUGAGUGGCGAACGGGUGAGUAACACGUGAGUAACCUGCCCCCUUCUUCUGGAUAACCGCAUGAAAGUGUGGCUAAUACGGGAUAUUCUGCGCCUGCUGCAUGGUGGGUGUGGGAAAGAUAUUGUUUCGGUUGGGGAUGGGCUCGCGGCCUAUCAGCUUGUUGGUGGGGUGAUGGCCUACCAAGGCGGUGACGGGUAGCCGGCGUGAGAGGGGGGACGGUCACAGGGGGACUGAGAAAAGGCCCAGAGUCAUACGGGAGGGAGCAGUGGGGAAUAUUGCAGAAUGGGAGAAAGCCUGAUGCAGCGACGCCGCGUGAGGGAAGGAGGCGUUCGGGUUGUGAACCUCUUGGGCGAGUGAAGCAGGCCUGCCCGUUGUGGGUGGGUUGACGGUAGCUGGAUAAGAAGCGCCGGCUAACUACGUG
RNAcentral lists this ribosomal RNA (489 nucleotides) under uncultured bacterium. RNAcentral describes it as "partial 16S ribosomal RNA". It matches the Rfam family "Bacterial small subunit ribosomal RNA", at positions 28 to 507 of the family's 1533-position model. The record is from RNAcentral.